GUGUUCGCGGGGUUUGAUUUCCAAGGCCAAGCUUUGUAGCAUUUCUUUCGGAAGCUUUGAGGUUGAGCAAGUGAUGAACUGGUGGCUGAGUGGAGUUGGUGGUCGUAUUAUCUCUUUUGUAGGAUUUUCGUGGCAUGUGUCUUCAUACACAUGACCACAUGGUUACAACUCCUUCCGCUGUGUUUUUUUUUGUCGUAGUAUUUUGUAGUAGAUGGGUCAUAGGAAAAACGAUCAGUAACGAGUGAUCCGUGAUAAACACUCUUUCAAAUUCUCAUGAUCUUUAUUGUCUCGUGAACAUUUUUCAUCUUAUGAAGAAAUAUUUGUGUCUUA
Non-coding RNA from Salvia hispanica, 330 nucleotides. The record is from RefSeq and is a predicted model, not a curated record. NCBI's taxonomy places the organism in Eukaryota, Viridiplantae, Streptophyta, Magnoliopsida, Lamiales, Lamiaceae.